This 383-nucleotide ribosomal RNA is filed under the name uncultured eukaryote. RNAcentral describes it as "partial 18S ribosomal RNA". It matches the Rfam family "Eukaryotic small subunit ribosomal RNA", at positions 592 to 976 of the family's 1831-position model. The record is from RNAcentral.
UGUAAGCGUAUACCAAAGUUGUUGCAGUUAAAACGCUCGUAGUCGGAUUUUGGCGGUUCCGGAAGUGUGCCGCGUCGUGCGGCCGCUUUGCAGGGACCGCUUUUGUGGGUGUGCGUCAGAUGAGGGCUGUUAAUUCGGUAACGUCUGUACGCAACCACUUUUUACUGUGAGAAAAUCAGAGUGCUCAAAGCAGGCAUUUGCCGUGAAUGUAUUAGCAUGGAAUAAUAGAAUAGGACUUAGUCUUAUUUUGUUGGUUUGUUAGGACCGAGUAAUGAUUAAGAGGGACAGUUGGGGGCAUUUGUAUUUCGGCGCUAGAGGUGAAAUUCUUAGAUUGCCGAAAGACAAACUGCUGCGAAAGCGUCUGCCAAGGAUGUUUUCAUUGA